UACGUAGGGUGCGAGCGUUAAUCGGAAUUACUGGGCGUAAAGCGUGCGCAGGCGGUGAUGUAAGACAGGUGUGAAAUCCCCGGGCUUAACCUGGGAGGGUGCGCCGAAUACUGAAUGACUAGAGUGCGGGAGAGGAGAGUGGAAUUCCUGGUGUAGCGGUGAAAUGCGUAGAUAUCAGGAGGAACACCAGUGGCGAAGGCGACUUCCUGGCCUGUUCUUGACGCUGAGGCGCGAAAGCUAGGGGAGCAAACGGG
Molecule: ribosomal RNA, 254 nt
Filed under: uncultured bacterium
Lineage: Bacteria
Description: partial 16S ribosomal RNA
Rfam family: Bacterial small subunit ribosomal RNA
Source: RNAcentral